This 452-nucleotide ribosomal RNA is filed under the name uncultured Fluviicola sp. RNAcentral describes it as "bacterial SSU rRNA". It matches the Rfam family "Bacterial small subunit ribosomal RNA", at positions 342 to 791 of the family's 1533-position model. Lineage: Bacteria; Pseudomonadati; Bacteroidota; Flavobacteriia; Flavobacteriales; Crocinitomicaceae. The record is from RNAcentral.
CGGGGGGCAGCAGUGAGGAAUAUUGGUCAAUGGGCGCAAGCCUGAACCAGCCAUGCCGCGUGCAGGACGAAUGCCCUAUGGGUUGUAAACUGCUUUUAUUUGGGAAUAAACCUAUUUACGUGUAGAUAGCUGAAGGUACCAAAUGAAUAAGCACCGGCUAACUCCGUGCCAGCAGCCGCGGUAAUACGGAGGGUGCAAGCGUUAUCCGGAAUCAUUGGGUUUAAAGGGUCCGCAGGCGGUGCUAUAAGUCAGUGGUGAAAUCUCAUAGCUUAACUAUGAAACUGCCAUUGAUACUGUAGCACUUGAAUUCGGUCGAAGUGGGCGGAAUAUGACAUGUAGCGGUGAAAUGCAUAGAUAUGUCAUAGAACACCGAUAGCGAAGGCAGCUCACUAGGCCUGGAUUGACGCUCAGGGACGAAAGCGUGGGGAGCAAACAGGAUUAGAUACCCGAGU